Molecule: ribosomal RNA, 496 nt
Filed under: uncultured bacterium
Lineage: Bacteria
Description: partial 16S ribosomal RNA
Rfam family: Bacterial small subunit ribosomal RNA
Source: RNAcentral
GAUGAACGCUGGCGGCGUGCCUAAUACAUGCAAGUCGAGCGAACAGAUGAGGAGCUUGCUCCUCUGACGUUAGCGGCGGACGGGUGAGUAACACGUGGAUAACCUACCUAUAAUACUGGUAUAACUUCGGGAAACCGGAGCUAAUACCGGAUAAUAUAUUGAACCGCAUGGUUCAAUAGUGAAAGACGGUUUUGCUGUCACUUAUAGAUGGAUCCGCGCCGCCUUGUUUAGUUGGUAGGUUAACGGCUAUCAAGGCAACGAUGGGUUGACGAACUGAGAGGGUGAUCGGCCACACUGGAAGUGAGACGCGGUCCAGACUCCUACGAGAGGCAGCAGUAGGGAAUGUUACGCAAUGGGCGAAAGCAUGACGGAGCGACGCCGCGUGAGUGAUGAAGGUGUUCGGAUCGUAAUACUCGGUUAUUAGGGAAAAACAAAUGUGUAAGGAAAUAUGCACGGCUUGACGGUACCUAAUCAGAAAGCCACGGCUAACUACGUG